UAUGUGAUCGUCUCUCGCAUAUCAAUAAGCGGAGGAAAAGAAACUAACAAGGAUUCCCCUAGUAACGGCGAGUGAAGCGGGAAGAGCUCAAAUUUGAAAUCUUAAAGGGUUUCCCUUUACGAAUUGUAGUUUAAAGAAGUGUUUUCUGUUGAGGUUUUGGUAAAAGUUCUUUGGAAUAGGACAUCAUAGAGGGUGAGAAUCCCGUAUUUGACCUUUACUUUCAACUUUGUGAUACACUUUCAAAGAGUCGGAUUGUUUGGGAAUGCAGUCCAAAAUGGGUGGUAAAUUUCAUCUAAAGCUAAAUAUUGGCGAGAGACCGAUAGCGAACAAGUACCGUGAGGGAAAGAUGAGAAGAACUUUGAAAAGAGAGUUAAACAGUACGUGAAAUUGUCAAAAGGGAAGCGUUUGACACCAGUGUUGUUUUUCUGAAAAUCAAUUAAAGAACUGUUUAUGCUAAGCUGUUUAGACUUUAUCAGCUAUCUGUUUAGUUUUGAGCUUUUCUUUAAUGCACUUUUCAGUUAACAAGUCAACAUCAAUUUCUUUUGCUGUAAAAAAGCUUGAGGAAGGUGACUUGAGAUUCGUCUUAAGUGUUUAUAGCCUCUUGCCUAUGCAGUCGGAGAGAUUGAGGUCUGCAGCGUAGAUCCUUCGGGGCUAAAUGCAUUUGUGCUAAGUUAUAGCAUUUUAUAGACAACUUGUUGACUAUGAUUUGUCUUGUAGCUUACUCGCUUAUGUUAUUUUACCUACGCUUAGGAUGUUGAGUCGUAGUGCGUGCGC
RNAcentral lists this ribosomal RNA (774 nucleotides) under uncultured Neocallimastigales. RNAcentral's name for it is "partial large subunit ribosomal RNA". It matches the Rfam family "Eukaryotic large subunit ribosomal RNA", at positions 24 to 647 of the family's 3401-position model. The record is from RNAcentral. Lineage: Eukaryota; Fungi; Neocallimastigomycota; Neocallimastigomycetes; Neocallimastigales.